AUGCAGCAGAGCUGGGGUGCAGGGCUGGCAGUACUAGCCACGCUGCUCCUGGUGGCUGUGGGCAGAGCCCAGGUGCAGCAGGAAUUGUCAGCAGAGGCCACAGAGGGCACCAGCAUCAGCAUCAGCUGCUCACACCCCAACAUACAGUCCUACGAGUACAUCCACUGGUACCGGCACCUCCCGGGACGAGGUCCCACGUUCAUUGUGAGUGCUCUCAAAGGGUCCAAAGAGGUGCAGGACCCUCCAGGAACCCUGCUUGUGGCUGCAGACCGCCGGUCCAGUGACCUGCAGCUCACAUGGCCCCAGCGGCGUGACACGGCGGUGUAUUACUGCACCCUGAGAGACCCAGCGGGACAGGCUGGGGCUGCGGCUGUGCACAAACCGCCGUGGAUGGGGCAGGGUGUACAAGGUGGCAGCUGGCCUGAAGGAGAGGGGCUGAUUCACCACACUGCCGAACACCGCAGGAAAAUAUGCGUCUUCCAGCUGGAGGAAGUCAAGGUCUCUGAACAGGAACAACCUGUUCUCCUCAGGAAAGGAUUCCAUGUCACCCCUAGGGCUGGUGGUGUCCUCAGAGGCAUGAUUGGGCUUGAGUGCUACACCAGCCUCAGCCCAAACAAGCUCAGCUGA
Molecule: non-coding RNA, 627 nt
Organism: Rhea pennata
Lineage: Eukaryota; Metazoa; Chordata; Aves; Rheiformes; Rheidae
Source: the annotation of a RefSeq genome assembly